RNAcentral lists this ribosomal RNA (587 nucleotides) under uncultured bacterium. RNAcentral's name for it is "partial 16S ribosomal RNA". It matches the Rfam family "Bacterial small subunit ribosomal RNA", at positions 354 to 932 of the family's 1533-position model. The record is from RNAcentral.
UGGGGGAAUUUUGGACAAUGGGCGAAAGCCUGAUCCAGCAAUGCCGCGUGUGUGAAGAAGGCCUUCGGGUUGUAAAGCACUUUUGUCCGGAAAGAAAUCCUUGGCUCUAAUACAGUCGGGAGAUGACGGUACCGGAAGAAUAAGCACCGGCUAACUACGUGCCAGCAGCCGCGGUAAUACGUAGGGUGCAAGCGUUAAUCGGAAUUACUGGGCGUAAAGCGUGCGCAGGCGGUUUGCUAAGACCGAUGUGAAAAUCCCCGGGCUCAACCUGGGAACUGCAUUGGUGACUGGGCAGGCUAGAGUAUGGCAGAGGGGGGUAGAAUUCCACGUGUAGCAGUGAAAUGCGUAGAGAUGUGGAGGAAUACCGAUGGCGAAGGCAGCCCCCUGGGCCAAAUACUGACGCUCAUGCACGAAAAGCGUGGGGGAGCAAAACAGGAUUAGAUACCCUGGUAGUCCACGCCCUAAAACGAUGUCAACUAGUUGUUGGGGAUUCAUUUCCUUAGUAACGUAGCUAACGCGUGAAGUUGACCGCCUGGGGAGUACGGUCGCAGGAUUAAAACUUAAAUGAAUUGACGGGGUCAUAGCUG